CAACCAUGUAGAUAUUGUCCACUUUGGGCCCAAGAGGGCCCUCACGGCUUUAAAACGCGUCUACUUGGUUAAGAGGAGCCUCUACAUAUAUAGCGCCAGGAACUUCCUCCCCUAUCCGAUGUGGGACAUCACAAAUACCCCCCAUGCAGACACAACGUCCUCGUUGUGUCCCAUGGGAUUGCGGGGCCAAACAGACAAACACCCCCUACGGAGCCAAACAAACCCCCACACCGGGGUCAGGGAUCGGCUCUGAUACCAACCAUGUAGAUAUUGUCCGCUUUGGGCCCAAGAGGGCCCUCACGGC
This 304-nucleotide long non-coding RNA is filed under the name Vitis vinifera (wine grape). Its description in RNAcentral is "long non-coding RNA (VVIN_LNC006607)". The record is from RNAcentral. Lineage: Eukaryota; Viridiplantae; Streptophyta; Magnoliopsida; Vitales; Vitaceae.